Molecule: microRNA precursor, 55 nt
Filed under: Podarcis lilfordi (Lilford's wall lizard)
Lineage: Eukaryota; Metazoa; Chordata; Lepidosauria; Squamata; Lacertidae
Source: RNAcentral
AUAUAUAUAUACACACACACACACUGUAUGUGUGUGUGUGUGUGUGUGUGUGUGU